AACGCACAUUGCGCCCGCCAGCACUCUGGCGGGCAUGCCUGUCCGAGCGUCAUUUCUACCCUCGGGCCCCCCAGGGGGCCCGGUGAUGGGGUCCGGCCCAGGCCGCCCCCGAAAUGCAGUGGCGACCCCGCCGCGUCCUCCCCUGCGCAGUAGCACAACCUCGCACCGGAAGCGCGGAGGCGGUCACGCCCGUAAAACGCCCCAACUCAACGCAGUUGACCUCGGAUCAGGUAGGAGUACCCGCUGAACUUAA
Molecule: unclassified non-coding RNA, 253 nt
Filed under: uncultured fungus
Lineage: Eukaryota; Fungi
Description: partial contains 5.8S ribosomal RNA, internal transcribed spacer 2, and large subunit ribosomal RNA
Source: RNAcentral